GAUCAUUAUAUUACUGUCACCCAUGGCAAGUCUGUUGCUACACCAAAGCGUCCUCAGGCCUGCCUGCCUAUUCUGAUUCUGUUGGAGCAGAUUCCUCCAGCUCUCCAGGACUGGACCUAGGUGCCCCUGGUUCAGACAGUUAUGCUGUCUGUGUGGUCCACUUAUCUGAGACAAAAUAAAGACGCUUCACCAAUGAGAGGAGAUUUAUGGUGACAUGUGAAAGUCUCAGGGGAGGUUCUGUAAGAACCAGAACCAAAUAUUAACAUCAUUCAGUUAACUAUGAGAUUAUUAUAAAUUCUGUCUCAUAUGUUGCACACUCCUUCUGAAACAAACCCUGAAGCCCUUUAAAAAAAAAAAAAGUACUCUUUGAUUUCCAUCCCUCUGAAGACGGUUCUGUCUGUGAGACAGAGACUCAGCCUGAACCCAGAACCAGCUGCUCUGACUUUCUCUCCAUGCUGCAAAUCGAUGUGGAUUACAGGAGCUGAGCCUGAUGUAUGAAGCUGCAUGCAUGACUGUGUGUGCUAACAAGACUCCUGUGUGGGAGUGAGGGGGUGUGUUGAAAAAGUCACUGCAGCACUUUGUUGAAGCCAGAUGCUGCAAUGGACACAUAAAUAAGUACUGCAGCAGUCUCUGUGAGGCACACAGCGGCAGGAAUCCCUCUGUAGCACAACCCAAUGAAGCAUCAGGGCUGAUUUGGAUCUGCUUCCAUCAUACCCAGUUAAACUGGAAACGGGUCUUUUGUUUCUAAAAAUAAUUUGUUAAAAAUUGUUGCAGGACUCAGCCACCUUCAUCCUGCUCUGCCCCAGCUGUUCCCUGGAUGGAUGAGAAGAAGGUUCAAGUAACAUAAUUAGUAGCUUGAUGACAUCAAGCUGAAGCGUGGUGUUAUCUGCUGCUAAUCUCACAGAGAGGGAUGUAUUACACUGCAUAGGCGGGGAAACCCUCUAAAAUGUGCUUCCACAGCAUCAGCCACAGGUCAACAUGCAGAAUCAUCUUUUGAAGACAGUUUUUAACCUCAGGAAGCGUUUCCAGGUUCACGAAGGUGAAAUAAAAUGUGAAACUGGAUCAUUUCAGAAUCCGAAGCCCAAUGUGAACAGCAGACAAACGGGAGAAGCAAUGACUUCAUUUUUAAAGAGUCGUCUUUGUUUAAUGUGGAGAAAAUGAAGAUUUACAGCAAAACAUGUAAGGAUUUUACAGCAUUGUUGGUUUGGAGUAAGAAUGAGGAGUCAUUAUCUUACCUCGAAUGGACAUUUGGUUUCAAAAGGGUCCCAAUAAAGUAUUUUACUCAUAGUAACCAGAUUUUAUUUAGGCGCGCCAGCUGAAUAAACAUCCUACUGUGUAAUUUAAGCCCUAGAUGUGCACUUACAGAGAAGGUAGAAGGUGAAAUGCUUUUAUUCUAUUCUACAUAAAUAUAUUAACAAUUUUCUUUUGAAGGUGAUUUUUUUUUCUUUUCUUUCUGUAACAAAAUGUAUUUUAUGUUUUUACAAUGACCUGCUCUCAGUGCCGAUCCUUAAAUAAUGAGUAAAUGAUCUAGUGAAUAAGUUCACUGAAUUACCAAUGCCAUUCCUGAACGAGCUCAGCUGAACCUUUGUACCGAGCACAUCAGUCACGGUUUGCUUGACUGCAUGUGAAUUCCUCUCUGGUUCUCCAAGCCGGGAUCACCGACAGCUGGAAGCUGCAGGUUGUUGUUGCAGAUGUUCCCUAACAGACCUGUGCUGCUCUUGAUCAAUAGGUUUGCAGGUUUUCUAAAGGGUUUCUUUGUAUAUAAGCUAUUUUACCCAUUUCGAUUGGACUUCAAUCAAGAUGAUCAAGGCAGCAUUUGGGAAUUAACUUGAAGUUUUGCGUUUAAUAAAGUCAAAUAAAAUAGAAAGUGCUGAAGAA
This is a long non-coding RNA of Girardinichthys multiradiatus, 1878 nucleotides long. RefSeq lists it as uncharacterized. The transcript has 2 exons. The record is from RefSeq and is a predicted model, not a curated record. Lineage: Eukaryota; Metazoa; Chordata; Actinopteri; Cyprinodontiformes; Goodeidae.